RNAcentral lists this small nuclear RNA (196 nucleotides) under Prunus dulcis (almond). RNAcentral describes it as "sRNA ncRNA". It matches the Rfam family "U2 spliceosomal RNA". Rfam says of the family: U2 is a small nuclear RNA (snRNA) component of the spliceosome (involved in pre-mRNA splicing). Complementary binding between U2 snRNA (in an area lying towards the 5' end but 3' to hairpin I) and the branchpoint sequence (BPS) of the intron results the bulging out of an unpaired adenosine, on the BPS, which initiates a nucleophilic attack at the intronic 5' splice site, thus starting the first of two transesterification reactions that mediate splicing. The record is from Rfam by way of RNAcentral. Lineage: Eukaryota; Viridiplantae; Streptophyta; Magnoliopsida; Rosales; Rosaceae.
AUACCUUUCUCGGCCUUUUGGCUAAGAUCAAGUGUAGUAUCUGUUCUUAUCAGUUUAAUAUCUGAUACGUGGACCAAUGGUCCACACGAUAUUAAAUUAAUUUCUUUUGGGGGAGGGUCCGCCACAGUAGCUUGCUAUUGGGGCUCUCACGUGUCGCCCAAGCGUUGCACUAUUGCAUGGGCCUGGCGCACCCCAC